RNAcentral lists this ribosomal RNA (301 nucleotides) under uncultured bacterium. RNAcentral's name for it is "partial 16S ribosomal RNA". It matches the Rfam family "Bacterial small subunit ribosomal RNA", at positions 509 to 809 of the family's 1533-position model. The record is from RNAcentral.
CAGUCGCCGCGGGAAUACGUAGGGUGCGAGCGUUAAUCGGAAUUACUGGGCGUAAAGCGUGCGCAGGCGGUUUGUUAAGACAGAUGUGAAAUCCCCGGGCUUAACCUGGGAACUGCAUUUGUGACUGGCGGGCUAGAGUAUGGCAGAGGGGGGUAGAAUUCCACGUGUAGCAGUGAAAUGCGUAGAGAUGUGGAGGAAUACCGAUGGCGAAGGCAGCCCCCUGGGCCAAUACUGACGCUCAUGCACGAAAGCGUGGGGAGCAAACAGGAUUAGAUACCCGUGUAGUCCCUGUCUCUUAUAU